This 341-nucleotide unclassified non-coding RNA is filed under the name soil metagenome. RNAcentral's name for it is "partial contains 5.8S ribosomal RNA, internal transcribed spacer 2, and large subunit ribosomal RNA". The stretch from base 1 to 120 matches the Rfam family "5.8S ribosomal RNA", at positions 35 to 154 of the family's 154-position model. The record is from RNAcentral.
GAUGAAGAACGCAGCGAAAUGCGAUAAGUAGUGUGAAUUGCAGAAUUCAGUGAAUCAUCGAAUCUUUGAACGCACAUUGCGCCCCUCGGUAUUCCGUGGGGCACGCCUGUUCGAGCGUCAUUUACACCCUCAAGCGCAGCUUGGUGAUGGGCGUCUGUCCCGCUCUCCGUAGCGCGGACUCGCCUCAAAGUCAUUGGCGGCGGUCGUGCCGGCUCCUCGCGCAGCACAUUUGCGCUUCUCGGAGGCCCGGCGGAUCGGCAUCCAGCAAGCUACUUUUUAUGACUUGACCUCGGAUCAGGUGAGGAUACCCGCUGAACUUAAGCAUAUCAAUAAGCGGAGGA